UCAUUUUGUUGUUGUUUUUUAUCUCCGGUCUAGACAGGCUAGACUUAGAUUUAGUAUCUUCAUACGGUAUAUGUAUUUUAUACAUCACCUAAUUACAAUUUUAACAACCAAUUAAUAGAUAGAUCUAUAGAUAUAUAGUAAUCCGGUCUUAAUAGAAGAUUUCAUUCAUACAUGCCAUUGUAUGUGUAUUUGUUUGAUAGAACUACACAUAUUUAUAAGAACUGAUCGUUACAAAAUAUAUUGGCAAACAAGGUUAAAAUUUGUCUUCGGAAAAAUCGUCCCGACGUGGUCAGAAAGAGUUAUCCCCCUUGGCCGGCAUAGCGAUCGGUUUUCGAUCAAACAUUUAUCGAUACUGAGAUGGAGAACGUCAACGUGCCUGCUGACCCUGCACAUGACGCAUGGUAUCCAAGUGGGCUGUGUCCUGCCACAUUCAGGAAAUUUGAGGUGCAACCCUUGUAGGAAAUCAGGUUUCACUGUCCAGUUACAAGAAGCCUGGUGUAAAUAGCUUGUUUGGUCCAGUUGCACCAAACAAAGAUGCUGUGUACACCAAGUGUGACUGAUAGUCCUGUGUAAGCAAAAUUAGGCAUAUUGCUGAAUGUUGGGACCGGAUGUUGUGCUCUCUCAACCAGGCAACUACCAUGCUGUAAUGAAACUUGAUGGUAUCAGUUUACACCAACGCUAAACUACAUAUACAGCUCCCAAUACAGUGUGCUUUGAGAAGGGAGAGCAACUAUGCCCUGUACGUUUCUGGAAAGAAGAAGUGUUGAGAAGAAGAGUUCUGUGUUGAAGUCAGCAUUGACAUCCUGAGUAGUGAAAAGAUCAGCAGGGAGUAGCAUCAGUUUGCUACUGUGUGGUGGGACAGUGUUUCUCCCUAUACUCAUGGACAGUACUGUACAUCUAAACAUAUGAUUCAUAUUAUAUAUUGUUUCAUAAUGUGAGGUGUGUUUUUUUCAUUCAAAAUAUCAAUUAUCAUAUAUGGUGAAUUUAGCAUCUUACAAAUAUACUGUGCAUGGAAUUUCUUCACUGUUUUCAGCAUUUUGAGGCAAAACUCUUUUCAUGUGUUACAUUUAUGUUUAUUGUUUCCUCAACAAUAAAGAACUAGCAAAAUGA
Long non-coding RNA from Haliotis rufescens (red abalone), 1110 nucleotides. RefSeq lists it as uncharacterized. Lineage: Eukaryota; Metazoa; Mollusca; Gastropoda; Lepetellida; Haliotidae. The record is from RefSeq and is a predicted model, not a curated record. The transcript has 6 exons.